AGGUCCGUAGUGUAUAGCACGCAAAAUUGCAAGUUUUUAAGAGCAGAAUAAUAUCUGCCGGGGCUU
This 66-nucleotide transfer RNA is filed under the name Batrachoseps nigriventris (black-bellied slender salamander). Its description in RNAcentral is "tRNA-Cys". The record is from RNAcentral. Lineage: Eukaryota; Metazoa; Chordata; Amphibia; Caudata; Plethodontidae.